Rhinopithecus roxellana (golden snub-nosed monkey) is the source of this 2576-nucleotide RNA transcript. RefSeq lists it as uncharacterized. The transcript has a single exon. The record is from RefSeq and is a predicted model, not a curated record. Lineage: Eukaryota; Metazoa; Chordata; Mammalia; Primates; Cercopithecidae.
CAAUGCUGGACCUGGGAUUGGAUUCUCAGUAGUCCUUGCAGGAGGCGGCCUGCUCCCAAACCCAAAGAUUCCAGACACCCUGCAGGGCCACAUUUAUGAUAGACCCUAAAGUGCCCUCUCCUUAGGCCCCUGUCUUGUUCAGGAGAAUAUUGACAGCUCAGUAUUCUGAAGGGCUUAAGGACUUUGAGAGAUAAGACAGUCUGGCUUUUAUAGACUACCACAAGGCCCCAGUGAUGUAGUUGUUUACAGAAAUACUUGUGUCAGUAAUCAGGUAUUUUUCAGAUGUGGGCAACAAAUCCCCAUCACCCUACCCUGAACCACUUUACUGUCCCCCAGGCUCCAAGCCCAGGGCCCUCUCCCCAUUUCCAGGCCUCAGGGCCUGCCUUAUCCAGGGCUGGGGAUGGAGGCUAGAGAGUGACACAGAUCAACUUGUAAGUUGUCAGUUGACCAUUUAAUGAAAAUCUACACUGAAUAAUCCUUUGCCAAGUGAAUAGCCCCAGAAUUUGUUUUGUGGUGUAAUAAGGGUUGCCAAAUGCCUUAGUUUACAUACAACAGCCUGGCAUAUAUUCAGCGAGGCAUGACUCUAGGCACUUUAUGGGCCAAAUUUAGGCAGUUAUCAUGAUUCCUAUUUCAGAGAUGAAGAAACUGAGGCCUUGGUCAGUGACUUGAAAAGUCACAUAGCUAGAAAAUGGCCAAGAUUUGGAUCCAGGACUGCCUAACUUCAAUGUUCUGGCUCACUGAUUCUCAAACAUUAGUAUUUGGGUCGCGAGAUGGAAAUUUACCAAAAAUGCAGAUUCCCGGUCCCAUCUGGGCCGGGAAAUCAGCAUUCCGAACUUUAGGGGACUCCAGGGGUCUCUCUCUCUCCACCUGAAGAAUUUGGGGGAUUUUGCGAAUGACCUGAAGCCUGAGAGGAAGUGCAACACUGUAGGGCUCUCAGGAGCGGGUACCCUGCUGACGCCUGUGACUAGGCCUAACCGUCUGGGUUCUGCGGCCCAGUGCUCUAGACUCUCACCUGCCCGGAGGUGCGUUUGGGGUCCCGAUUGGCCGAUGAAUAUGUAUAUCCGCAGCGCCUCCUUCACUCCGAAGACUUUAACUUUCCCCCUUGCACAAAACCGAACAUCCCACCCCACCCCCACCUCCAAGCUAAAAUACCUGGGCCGCCCCUCCCCUCGAAGGGACGCGCUCCAGGCGAAUGGGGAGGGCCCGGAAGUCGGGCCCGGGACAGAGGAGCCGGCCCACCGCCUCCCGGUCGGAAGCGGCAGUGCAGGUGAGGCCGCGGCCAGCCUGGGGACUGCGCGGGUAAGGAGCGGGAGGGCUGGCUGCACCUCGAAGUUGGCGGGGGACGGCCGCGCACGCCUCGCCUCGGCCUUCCUGCCCCGUAGGGGCUGGCCGCCCUCCCGCCACCCCUGGGCACCUGCCGACCACGUCUGGGCGGGGGCGGGCCGGCUCCCGCCCUCGGGCCCUCACCGCACCCCGGCCAGCCGCGGCGGGGACGCCGGGUCAGCGAAGGGUUAAGGGACUUGCUCCCUCCUCUCGGCUCCCUCACCCUUGGAAAGUCCCCGAAAUGACGUUUCAACCCGACAAUUUAAAAAAGAGUUUAAUUAUAGAGACAGGCUCUGGGAGCUGGAACAAACCCUCGGUCGGCGGGGCCGGUAAACAACUCGGGAGCGAGCGGGCUAGGCCAGCCGCAGCCUUGCGGAGCCCGCGCCCCUGGGGAGAGGGGGAGGGGAGGGCCGCCGGGAGUUGGAAAAGCCGAGGAAAUUCGAGGAAUCAGCUUUCUUUGGAAAAACCCACUUUGUAGCCAUUCUGGGGCGCCUGAUGGUGCUCCUGGCCGGUCCCGCAGCCUUAGAGGGAAAGCGGCGCCGCCCGAAGCAGGGGCACAGCCGGUGCCCCGCGGGGACAGGCCCUGGGCCGGGAAGGGGCCCCGCCCGCUCCCAGUCCCCUUCCCCUUUGCUUUUUUUCAGCCCCUCCUCCGGUCUCCCAAGCUGAGCUUCGCGAACCCUCGGGAGUUAAAGACCCGCCGGCCCUUUCUUUUUGGGGGGUGGGGGAGCAGGAAUGGGUGGAGGCCGGGGGAAUAAAAAACCGAAAUAGCUUCACAUCAGAACUCAGACUAACCUUGUGGUUUCAACGCGCACCCUGCUCUGUCCUGAAAUCUGGAACUCAUUACCUCAUCACUGCACGAAAUCUUCCCCCCCGCCCCAACACCCACUUGGGCUGGGAAAAGAACGAGCAAACAUCCCUCUAAGAAAGAAACCUACACUUGAAUGAUUUAAAUUAAGGUGGAUGGAAGUUAUUUCCCUUUCUGGCGCUUGCCAGAUUUCAAGAAAAGCUGAAAAAUGGGAGCAGGGGGAGAGAAGCAACAGGCGGCUGCAGGGCAGCAGCCAGGUUAAAGUGAGGGCCAUCCAUUUCAGGCAGAGGAGACGAACGAAAGCCGACCCCGCUGGGAUCACGUAGGUUCGUGGCUGCAGCAAAAGUUGUGUUUCGCAAAGUUGAAAAACAACCGGUUUCUCAAACAGUUGUGAUUUGGAAGGUUUCGCUGGGUUUGCCCAGAUGUUGACGAAUAAAUAAGAAAUGCA